UACGAAGGGGGCUAGCGUUGCUCGGAAUUAUUGGGCGUAAAGGGCGCGUAGGCGGUGCGGUAAGUCACCUGUGAAAUCUCCUGGCUCAACUGGGAGCUUGCAGGCGAAACUGCCGUGCUGGAGUGUGGGAGAGGUGCGUGGAAUUCCUGGUGUAGCGGUGAAAUGCGUAGAUAUCAGGAGGAACACCUGUGGCGAAAGCGGCGCACUGGACCACAACUGACGCUGAGGCGCGAAAGCUAGGGGAGCAAACAGG
RNAcentral lists this ribosomal RNA (253 nucleotides) under uncultured bacterium. RNAcentral describes it as "partial 16S ribosomal RNA". It matches the Rfam family "Bacterial small subunit ribosomal RNA", at positions 524 to 776 of the family's 1533-position model. The record is from RNAcentral.